AAACACUGACCCAUUAAUUUGGUUCAUUUUUUCCUAGAUUGGCCUGGGCAGGUUUUAAUCACCUCAGCAAAGAAGAUUAUUCCUUGCUUCUGUCUUGGAGCAGAACACAUUCAGAUCUGUAGAUCCCUGGAAAGCAUUUAGUCAGAAGGAGAGCCAUCACAGCACUAUUAACAAGAGGGGAAAAAAAGAAGUGGAAACAAUCUAAGCUUCCCAAAUUGGACAGUGUUAUUUUAAAUGCUAGAUAGACAUUUAAGAUAAUGUUGCAGACAUAUUUAUUGACAAACUUAUUUAUGAUUGUUAAUUGAAAAAAAUUAAAUCUAAGCACAGUGUAAUCUCAUUUUUGCAAGAAACAAAAAAAGAUUAUCUCUUUGUAGAGAAAAGCUGGAGGAAGUUGUAUGUCAAAUGCAGACAGAAGUUGUCAUCUGGUGGUGGGUGAGUUCUUUUUA
This 446-nucleotide long non-coding RNA is filed under the name Bos taurus (domestic cattle). RNAcentral's name for it is "long non-coding RNA NONBTAT018453". The record is from RNAcentral. Lineage: Eukaryota; Metazoa; Chordata; Mammalia; Artiodactyla; Bovidae.